UCCAUGUUAGCUCAGUUGGUAAAGAAUCUGCCUGCAAUGCAACAGAUCCUGGUUCGAUUCCUGGAUUGGGAA
Molecule: transfer RNA, 72 nt
Filed under: Bos taurus (domestic cattle)
Lineage: Eukaryota; Metazoa; Chordata; Mammalia; Artiodactyla; Bovidae
Also listed under: 2 other names
Rfam family: tRNA
About the family: Transfer RNA (tRNA) molecules are approximately 80 nucleotides in length. Their secondary structure includes four short double-helical elements and three loops (D, anti-codon, and T loops).
Source: Rfam by way of RNAcentral